GUAGUUUGAUCAUGGCUCAGGAUGAACGCUGGCGGCGUGCCUAAUACAUGCAAGUAGAACGCUGAAGCUUGGUGCUUGCACCGAGCGGAUGAGUUGCGAACGGGUGAGUAACGCGUAGGUAACCUGCCUGGUAGCGGGGGAUAACUAUUGGAAACGAUAGCUAAUACCGCAUAACAGUAGAUAUUGCAUGAUAUCUGCUUGAAAGGUGCAAUUGCAUCACUACCAGAUGGACCUGCGUUGUAUUAGCUAGUUGGUGAGGUAGCGGCUCACCAAGGCGACGAUACAUAGCCGACCUGAGAGGGUGAUCGGCCACACUGGGACUGAGACACGGCCCAGACUCCUACGGGAGGCAGCAGUAGGGAAUCUUCGGCAAUGGGGGGAACCCUGACCGAGCAGCGCCGCGUGAGUGAAGAAGGUUUUCGGAUCGUAAAGCUCUGUUGUAAGAGAAGAACGAGUGUGAGAGUGGAAAGUUCACACUGUGACGGUAUCUU
RNAcentral lists this ribosomal RNA (491 nucleotides) under uncultured microorganism. RNAcentral's name for it is "bacterial SSU rRNA". It matches the Rfam family "Bacterial small subunit ribosomal RNA", at positions 9 to 481 of the family's 1533-position model. The record is from RNAcentral.